This 406-nucleotide unclassified non-coding RNA is filed under the name soil metagenome. RNAcentral's name for it is "partial contains 5.8S ribosomal RNA, internal transcribed spacer 2, and large subunit ribosomal RNA". The stretch from base 1 to 121 matches the Rfam family "5.8S ribosomal RNA", at positions 35 to 154 of the family's 154-position model. The record is from RNAcentral.
GAUGAAGAACGCAGCGAAAUGCGAUAAGUAAUGUGAAUUGCAGAAUUCAGUGAAUCAUCGAAUCUUUGAACGCACCUUGCGCCCUUUGGCCAUUCCGAAGGGCAUGCCUGUUUGAGUAUCAUGAACACCUCAACUCGUCAUGGUUUUCCGUGGUGAGCUUGGACUUUGGGGGUCUUGCUGGCCUAUGGUCAGCUCCUCUAAAAUAAAUCAGCUUGCCAGUGUUUGGUGGGUAUCACAGGUGUGAUAACUAUCUACGCUUGUGGUUUUCCACCAGGUAACCUUCAGCAGUGGAGGUUCGCUGGAGCUCACAGAUGUGUCUCUCCUCAGUGAGGACAGCUCUUUGAAUGUUUGAUCUCAAAUCAGGUAGGACUACCCGCUGAACUUAAGCAUAUCAAUAAGCGGAGGA